Molecule: RNA transcript, 3584 nt
Organism: Schistocerca gregaria
Lineage: Eukaryota; Metazoa; Arthropoda; Insecta; Orthoptera; Acrididae
Exons: 6
Source: RefSeq, a predicted model, not a curated record
UUAAAUAAAAGCUACCUAGUGAAAGUGUGAUUACUAAAUACGUUGAUGUCUGUUAAUACAUUUGAGUAUCUUACUGUUUCAUUUAACGUAACUAGGUAACAACAUAUCUCAUACACAAGUAGGAUCUACUUCCAAAAGCGUAAUAACACUAGUGUACGUGUGUAACGACUCUUGACCAAUCAUCGUGUUUGUGUAUGUUUACAUAAAGUAUAUUAGUAAGAUGAACAGAGUAUAGAGACGUCUUGUUUUCUCGGUAACUUGUUACAGUGCCUGAAAGUGCAAUACCGAUGUAGAAAAAUUCUGCCGAGUUUCGUACUUUGUGCCUAUAGUAUUCUGAUUCUAUAUUACACUGUAAAAUUUCUUUGUGUAUCUUUAUCGGUUGUUUGUGUUAGCGGCCUACUUCCAGAAGAACUUGCUUAGACCCUGAAGUUGCAAUCGUCGUUUCCCACGACGGUUAAUACAUUUUUUUUUUUUUUUUUUUUUUUUUUUUUUUUUGCCAGAAGUUGUGUAGUAACAGUAGUCCUACUGCUCAAAUUGCUUUCAGCAAACAUGUUCAUGCAUCCAAAACUUUUGCAUGUUCAGACUUAUAAGAAUGACCGUAUUUGGAAGAAUUUACUGUCAGUUUUACAGGUAGUUAUGAAUUAAAGUGACAGAAUGCAGGCUUGUGAACAGUACAAUCUGUUUUUGCAUCGGAUGUUUCUGACUUUUCUGAAAUGGAAAACCAAGGAAGAGAAGACAAAAGUAGCAUUGUAACUUAUGGGUGUGCCUAGCCUUCGAUAGGUGGCACUAAAACCACAUAUAUGUGUCAUAGAUAUGUGAUAUUCAAAUCUCAAUCAAAAGGCGAGAGGCUGCUGAAGUUGCAAGGCAAUAACAAGAUGGGAAGCCAUCACACUGCUGCCAUGAACAUCUGCCAAAAUAAAAAGUGGAAUUUUAUUAUUGUUUAUUUCAAGACACAUUUUAGCCACAAACGGAAUGAAUAUUGUUUCUGUGCACCUAACCAGACAUUAAAAGGAGUUCACUGCUGGUGAUAUUGACUUGUGAGAAGAAUGGCUGAUAAAUCCAAUUACAUCCUGGAACAAUGAAUCGUUAAUGGAUUUCAUGAACAUCUGCACUCUGGGAAAAAGUUGCUUUGCAAGCAAUCACAGGAAAUUAACAUCCCAUUAACGAGCUUACGACAACAUAUGCUAACAGGUUUAAACCUCCAUUACACGCACCACGAACUCCGUUAUUGUCUGAAGCAGCAAACUGAGGUGCAGAUCGUCAGUCAACACGCAUGCAGUCUUGUGAAUGCAGCUCUUCUGUACAUAGUGUAUUGCAGUAUUUUCAGAAGAGUGGUGGAUGAUAAACAGUUGUUGAAAUGGCUGGAUGAAGAGUUUGCUAAUGAAGAUUGUAGUGAUGCAGAGUCAAUCUUCAAAACUGAUCACAAUUCUGAAAGUGAGCAGUUUCUGGACAUAAAUGACAUUAUCGAUAAAUUUGACUCUCAUGUUGGGAAAGGUGGUAUGCAGUGCAGUCAUCGACCUCUGACUCAAAACACGUAUAUAUGCCAGCUUUGUUGUACUUCUAGAAGCUAGAAUUUCUAGGCAAGCAUUAUACAGGGUGUUACAAAAAGGUACGGCCAAACUUUCAGGAAAAAUUCCUCACACACAAAUAAAGAAAAGAUGUUAUGUGGACAUGUGUCCGGAAACGCUUAAUUUCCAUGUUAGAGCUCAUUUUAGUUUCGUCAGUAUGUACUGUACUUCCUCGAUUCACCGCAAGUUGGCCCAAUUGAACGAAGGUAAUGUUGACUUUGGUACUUGUGUUGACAUGCGACUCACUGCUCUACAGUACUAGCAUCAAGCACAUCAGUACGUAGCAUCAACAGGUUAGUGUUCAUGACGAACGUGGUUUUGCAGUCAGCGCAAUGUUUACAAAUGCGGUGUUGGCAGGUGCCCAUUUGAUGUAUGGAUUAGCACGGGGCAAUAGCCGUGGCACGGUACGUUUGUAUCGAGACAGAUUUCCAGAACAAAGGUGUCCCGACAGGAAGACGUUCGAAGCAAUUGAUCUGCGUCUUAGGGAGCACGGAGCAUUCCAGCCUGUGACUCGAGACUGGGGAAGACCUAGAACGACGAGGACACCUGCAAUGGACGAGGCAAUUCUUCGUGCAGUUGACGAUAACCCUAAUGUCAGUGUCAGAGAAGUUGCUGCUGUACAAGGUAACGUUGACCACGUCACUGUAUGGAGAGUGCUACAGGAGAACCAGAUGUUUCCAUACCAUGUACAGCGUGUGCAGGCACUAUCAGCAGCUGAUUGGCCUCCACGGGUACACUUCUGCGAAUGGUUCAUCCAACAAUGUCUCAAUCCUCAUUUCAGUGCAAAUGUUCUCUUUACGGAUGAGGCUUCAUCCCAACGUGAUCAAAUUGUAAGUUUUCACAAUCAAUAUGUGUGGGCUGACGAGAAUCCGCACGCAAUUGUGCAAUCACGUCAUCAACACAGAUUUUCUGUGAACGUUUGAGCCGGCAUUGUUGGUGAUGUCUUGAUUGGGCCCCAUGUUCUUCACCCUACGCUCAAUGGAGCACAUUAUCAUGAUUUCAUAUGGGACACUUUACCUGUGCUGCUAGAAAAUGUGUCUUUACAAGUAUGACACAACAUUUGGUUCAUGCACGAUGGAGCUCCUGCACAUUUCAGUCGAAGUGUUCAUAUGCUUUUCAACAACAGAUUCGGUGACCAAUGGAUUGGUAGAGGCAGACCAAUUCCAUGGCCUCCACGCUCUCCUGGCCUGAACCCUCUUGACUUUCAUUCAUGGGGGCAUUAGAAAUCUCUUGUCUAUGCAACCCCGGUACCAAAUGUAGAGACUCUUCGUGCUCGUAUUGUGGAGAGCUGUGAUACAAUACGCCAUUCUCCAGGGCUGCAUCAGGGAUUCCAUGCGAUGGAGGGUGUAUGCAUGUAUCCUCGCUAAUGGAGGACAUUUUGAACAUUUCCUGUAACAAAGUGUUUGAAGUCGUGCUGGUACGUUCUGUUGCCAUGUGUUUCCAUUCCAUGAUUAAUGUGAUUUGAAGAGAAGUAAUAAAAUGUGCUCUAACAUGGAAAGUAAGCAUUUCUGGACACAUGUCCACAUAACAUAUUUUCUUUUGUUGUGUGUGAGGAAUGUUUACUGAAAGUUUGGCCGUACCUUUUUGUAACACCCUGUAUACCAUGUAAUAGUGUUACAAUAUCGUUAUUGUCAUCCUGGCCAUCAAUGGAUUACAGUUACGGUUUUCGGGUAGUGGAAUACAUAUCGCAGAGCAGAGUGAUACAGACUUUUCAGAACAAACAGACUUGGUAGUUGAAGAACUGUCACAAACAACAACAUCGAGUACAAACAGAGAAUACUACAUCAAGAUAUGGUACACCAAGGAAAAGAAAGUGAAGUGAAAAAGGAAAUUAUUCAAGUGCACUUCAGUUGAUUACUGAAAGACUGCCGUCCAAUACUAAUGUCGAUGCAGAUACAUUUGUUAAAGAUUUGGCUGUAAGAAUGAAAGCAAUUAAAAGCCAUGAAAUGAUGAUUAACCUCAAAUACUAAAACUUGUGUAUGAUGCUGUAGAGUCAAUAAACAUGCAAAUUACGUA